Molecule: non-coding RNA, 195 nt
Organism: Oryza meridionalis
Lineage: Eukaryota; Viridiplantae; Streptophyta; Magnoliopsida; Poales; Poaceae
Source: Rfam
UCCAAGUGUAUUCAUGAUUUUUUACAUCCAACGUUUAACCGUCCAUUUUAUUUGAAAUUUUAUCAUGAAUAGUAUUUUUAUUGUUAUUAUAUGAUAAAGCAUGAAUAAUACUUUAUGCCUGACUUAUUUUUUAAAGUUUUUUAAAUAAGACGAACAGUCAUAUAUUGGACACGAAAACCCACAACUGAACUUAAA